Molecule: ribosomal RNA, 252 nt
Filed under: uncultured bacterium
Lineage: Bacteria
Description: partial 16S ribosomal RNA
Rfam family: Bacterial small subunit ribosomal RNA
Source: RNAcentral
UACGGAGGAUGCGAGCGUUAUCCGGAUUUAUUGGGUUUAAAGGGUGCGUAGGCGGCCUGCCGAGUCAGCGGUAAAAUUGCGGGGCUCAACCCCGUACAGCCGUUGAAACUGCCGGGCUCGAGUGGGCGAGAAGUAUGCGGAAUGCGUGGUGUAGCGGUGAAAUGCAUAGAUAUCACGCAGAACCCCGAUUGCGAAGGCAGCAUACCGGCGCCCUACUGACGCUGAGGCACGAAAGCGCGGGGAUCAAACAGG